This 4667-nucleotide long non-coding RNA is filed under the name Vitis vinifera (wine grape). RNAcentral's name for it is "long non-coding RNA (VVIN_LNC006355)". The record is from RNAcentral. Lineage: Eukaryota; Viridiplantae; Streptophyta; Magnoliopsida; Vitales; Vitaceae.
UUGACAAAUGAUUGUGUUGCAGACUAGAGCACUCUCCUCAGUAUCUUUCUAAGCUUGCUUCUUCUUAUAUUUUCCUUCUCAAUAAGGCAGUCAAGUUCCGGAAGAACCCUCCUGAGUGCAACCCCAAGUAGGUAUUUUUCUAUUAUCUUUCUUAUUUUCUUUCUAGUUACUGAGAAUUUAUUGGAUGGCAUCCUUAUUUAGUUGUAAGUCAUCUUCUAGUAAAGUUGUUGUAGAUAGUGAAGAAUAUAGGGUCAGUGUUGAGAAGAAUUUGCACAAUUGGAACAUCCCAAAAGAGAAAAUCUACAAAACAGGAUUCUUCAAAUCCAACAAGUUAGUGAGAACUGAAAAACAAACAAUGCCACUGUCCACUGGAGAUCAAAUUAUAAGAUUACUUCCACAAGAGCAUUUAUACCGAUUCCAAGACGAGGAUUGUUCCCUCCAUGUAGGGUUGGUUCAACUAGCAGUUGGACCAUUAACAAGGCAAGGUAUUAAUGGAACCUCAGUUGUUUUAUGUCUCCAAGAUAAUAGGCAUAGCAAGUUUGAAGACUCCUUGCUAGGAAAGCUUCAAUUCAGUCUUUGUGAUGGACCCAUAUAUUUUAACUGCUUCCCCAAUUUUUUGGUGUCUCUAAUGGAUCGAAGAGUAUUCGACUGCUUGAAUUUAAGCAUCAAAACAAAUGGCUAUAAUAUGGUACAAGGAUCACUGCCGAUAGCCCUUGAAUUCCGUGUCGUUUACAAGAUAAUGAAAAAAACCCCAGCUGUGCCAAAAGCCUUGGCAGAAUACCCAGGAGGAAGAGUCCUUUUAGAAGAAAAAAUUGGAAGAUCAAAUGCUGUUUUUCCAGCAUCAGUCAAGUGGAGCGAAGUCGAAGAUGCAUAGCAGUGGAUGCUACCAGCUGAAGUCCCUCAACUACUUUACCUCAAAGUGAGCCAGAUAAAUGUAUUUCAUAUCAGUAUGCAUUGCACGGUUAUACGUGUGUUUUGUCGUUAGUUUUCCUGGUGUGUGUAUAUGUAUCUUCAAGAAUGCUUUUCUCCCUUUAUCUCUGUAAAUGUCUCUAUAAGUCUAUAACUAAUGAAGUUUGUCUGUUAUUCCAACUCUUCUCCUCUUAGUUGUUUAUCUUAUCUGAUUUAUGUGUUUGUCAUUGUGAUGGCCAAUCUAUUUGUUUCAUAGUAUGUUCUGUACUGUUUGCAUCAGGGCCAAGGUUUAAGAUUGCUAUAGAUCUGACAAUACCUGUGUUGUACUGAGCUCUCUAGUUCCGGUUUUGGUUUCUAAUUGGCACUUCUUAGAGCUGGUGGACAGCAAUGGGGUUUCUUAUGGCAAAUUCACUCGGAUCAUUUGGUUGGACGCCCACUAGUGAUGACAAUACUUAGGAAGUCAGAAUGCAUUAUAUAUCCCAAAGGGUUCUGGUUUAUGAUUCUUCCAAGAAAAGAUUGAAUCUGUCAGUGGUUAUGCCGUAAAUAAAUAAAACAUAUUUGUUAUUGAAAUCCAUGACAGUUUCCUAUGAUUAUACACUAAUAUGAUUGGGGAACAAACAUGUCCGGAAAAAGUAGCAGUUAGGCCUUUAAGUUUAACCAAGGCUGGUUUGAACAACUUCUGCUAUUGUGUACGAGGCAUUGUAGAAGCUAGCCUUUUUGAAUCUCACUAACAGGUCUGGGAAUCCUAUAGGUUCUCAGUCUCAUCUGAAGAUCCAAGGAUUCAAUAUUAAACCAGGAUCACAUAUAUGCCAACUUUUUUUUUUUUUGCUGGAAUUGAAGUGGAAACCUAUUGAUGAAUGCUGUAAGUUUUCCGGUUUUGGAGGAUGGAUGAUGUCCUGCUCUUGGGAAAGACUUGAGGAGACUUUGGAAAGACUUUGAUCUUUACUAUUUUGGAAAGAACUUUGAUAUAUAAAAACAAAAGUUUAGGUAUUGUUUGGUAAGUGUUUUUUAAAAUAACUCUAAAAAAUAGUUUUUAAAAACAGUUUUUAAAAAUUGUUUUGUUUUGUAAAAUAAAAGUUUAUUUGAAAACCUAAAAUGUUUUUAACUUGUUUUUAAUAUUUUUAAAUAUAUUUUAAAAAUAACUUUUACAUUCACAACUUUAUUUUUAAUUAUUAUAUAUGUGUAUUAUUAUUUUUUAAAACAAUUCUCAAAAAACAAGUAAAAACAACUAAAAGACAUUAGCUGAAAACAUCAUAUUUUUUGUUUUAAGAACUGAAAACAAAAAAUAGUUUUUGAUUGUCAAAUAUAUUUUCUAGUUUUCUUGUUUUAGAAAAUAAAAAUUUGUUCUUGAAAAUAGUUGCUAAAUAGACCCUUAAAGCCUCUUUUUGGAAGUUGUUCUUGACAACCGUUUUUUGUCCUCAAAUAAAAAUAGUUUUCUAAAGUAGAAUACAUAUUUGAAAAGCUUUUGAUAAUUUUUUUUUUUUUAAGAAUUUACCCUAAAAAUACCUUUUUUUUUUUGAAAGAACUCAGGUAAUUUCAGUUUAUUUUUAAAAUAGGAAGAAUAUUUUAACUUUUAACUGUACAUAAAUGUGCAGUACCUUUAUGGAGAAUAAGCUGAGAAAAUUGCAAUUCAUAUUUAAGUUGAAUUUUAUUCUUGAAAAUCAUUAAAAAUUAUUUUUAAGAAUAGUUAUCCCAAACUAUUUUUUGGAAACUAUUGGAAAAAACAUAGCCAAAAAAAGCUCUAAGUGCAUUUUUUGAUCAUAUAUUUUUCUUCCUUUUUUUUUUCAAUGAAUAAAUGUUUUAUAACACUACAUAAAUUACAUAAAAUGCUAAGGACCCUAGAGGAAUAGUAUACUCAGGACUAGAAUGAUUUUGCCACAAGAAAAAUGGCACUGUGUCAAUCCCUACCCAAAAAUGCCCUAGGACCUUCCAAGACAUUCUGAUGAUAAAAUCUGCCAAACUCUCAGACAAUGGACCAAAAUUGACUUGAUAAAAUCAUGUACACAAAAAAUAAAAAAAUAAAAAAAAAACCCAGAAUUGGCUUCAAAAUAUUGUUGGACACUGGAAAAGAUGAGAAAUGAAUGGAUCACAAUAAAUACCAGAGCAAAAGACCCAAUAAACUCAAUGAUCUCUUUUAGUUUAAAAGAUAUGACCCACUUAAUAUGAAGGCAUAAUUAACUAUAUUCAUAAAAAAAUUCCCAGGAGCAGCGUAGAGAGGAGACCUCAAAAUUCAGCAAUGGCAUGUUUGGGUUCAGUCAACCAGUCUGUGGUAGCACUCUCUAAUAAGUUCCACAACACCAACACCCAAAGCCUCCCAACCAAACACCUGUCUUCUUUAUCAUUAUUUAGUGGUUCUUCUUCUCCCUUAUCAACAAAAUCACCCAAAACCUACAAGCCAACUUACAGAGUCAACACUGGGAUUGUGAGGGCAGAAGCUAUGACAACUGAGAAGCUGGGCAUCAAGAUUGAGAGGAAUCCUCCUGAGUCCAGACUCACUCAACUGGGUGUCAAAUCUUGGCCCAAGUAUGUUUUCUGCUCUUUUUCUUCUUCUUUCUUCCAUGGAAAAAAUUGAGGAAAACAACAGAAAAAGUGGUGUAUUCAUGUGUUUAUAAAUGCUUUAGGGUUGUCGAUGGGCUCAUGUAUGUGGGUUAUUGAAUAUUGAACAGGUGGGGGUGUGAACCAAGCAAAUUCCCAUGGACGUUCACAACCAAAGAGACAUGUUACCUACUGAAGGGCAAAGUGAAGGUAUACCCAGAUGGGGCUAAUGAGUGUGUUGAGAUUGGGGCUGGUGAUUUGGUGGAGUUUCCCAAAGGAAUGAGCUGCACUUGGGAUGUCUCUGUUGCAGUGGACAAGCAUUACAGCUUGGGCUAAUUCACUAGUCUUCUGCAGCCCCUUUGCCUCUCUUCUUAUCAAUAACUGCAUGAAAUGAAGUAUUGGGGUUCUAGAAGUAGAUCUUAGGAUACAAUCAAACUCAUAUGUUUGUCUCUCUGUGUAAUUUGGUUGUGGAAUAAGAUGUUCUAGCCCUUUUAUUGGAUAAAUGCAGAAAAUUUUGGGUUUUUCUCAGAUUCUUGUUUUGAGGCAAAGAUACGGAGAAGGAAAAUUGUAUGGUAAUUCUCUGCCAUAUAAUAACUAAAGGUGCAAGAAAAGGAUAGUUAAAUCUAAACAAAAUGACGUCAAAAGAGAGAGAGAGAUAGCAAAAUUAAUUGUCAAAGCAACCAACUUGAAUAUUCAGAAUGAAAAACUACUUUUUGACAAGGGAAAAUAUUAAAAGUAGAGUGGAUUCUACUUUCUACUUGCUACUUGAAUUUAGUAUUUGAUUUGAUUGUGGCACCAACUCGCUAGUGGAAUGUAUCCAUGAGUGGGCUUACUUUAUAGCCUUAUGAAUAUGAGAUGCUUCCUUUGUUAGUUAUAAAUAAAUAAAAAGGAAAAGGAAAAGAAAAGCAAGAGUUUUUCAGAAAUCAGAUCAUGUGGGGAUGGGUAAGGGUAUAGGAGAAUUAGGGCAGUUGGAGGUGAGUUGCUCUGCGAGGAUGCCCCACACCCACUUUCUAAAGAGACUUCAGAGUUUGAAGGAAGGAAGAAAUAUGGUUAAAAGGAAAGAUUGAAAGAUUGAAAGAUUUUAGAAGUUGAAAAAAGUCCAUGAUUUAUGUUUAAUAAAACUUGGAUGAUACUAUAAAAAAAAAUGAGAUUCGAAUAUAAGGAAAUAAGAGUUCCAUAUAAAAUAACCUAAACAUGAAGGUCAAGGAUACCAUGCUCACUUU